Arabidopsis thaliana (thale cress) is the source of this 1250-nucleotide long non-coding RNA. RefSeq annotates it as other RNA. Lineage: Eukaryota; Viridiplantae; Streptophyta; Magnoliopsida; Brassicales; Brassicaceae. The record is from RefSeq. The transcript has 3 exons.
CAUCUAAACAAUAUUGUUGCAUCCUACCUUUGCAUAAUACCGGGUAGGGUUUUUGAUGCACCUGAUGGCUGCACGUAGUGCACUCAGGUACUCAUUUGUAGGGUGAUUGAGGAGAUCCUGGUCAUCAAAUGUUUCAUUAAGGACAGCAAAAAGAACAUUGUCAUGAAGAAAAACUGUGAUCGAUGUGCCAUAUAUAUCCUUGUAGCGGUUGAAGAUUGCGCUAAGCUGCAUGCUGCUCCUUGUACUUAACACCCUGAUCGUUUCUUCGUGAUCAACAGCCUUACCAAGGAUUUCAUCAUGAAGAAUCGCAGCCUCUGAUUGCGCCAGCAUCUCAUCAAUUUCUUCUCCAUCAUAUUUAUAAGCAGACACCAUUGCAACCAAGAGCUGUAUAUAUCAAGAAACGCCCAAGCGUUGAAGAUCAGUCAAAACUAGAAGAAACUAUCUGGAAAUUUAAAAUUACUUACUCUCCUGAUGUCGCCAAUAGUACGGGAGGCCAAGUCUUCCUCAAGAGAAUGCUUGUAGAGGCAACGGUAAGCACGUCUAGCAGCUAACAUAUCUUCAGGGGAUCUCAUGCAGGCAAUUUCGACAAGAACCUUGUAGUCAGGAAUAGGCUUUUGAAGAGCCAAGUUAGCCAAGAGAGCAUCUCUCUCUGGAGGAUCCAAGACCCACAAGCAAAUAGCUCUCUGCAGAGAGCUCAGAUUUGAGCUGGUGAAUGAGAUCCUCAUGGUAAAUCUCCUGGUAAGCUUGUCUUAUGAGCUUCCUCUGGAACAAAUUCCGGUGUCCUAAGAUCGAGAUGAUGGCAUUUUCAUUGGUUCCCCAUCCUAAAACGCCAAAUAGAAAUAAAGAAGAGGAGUAAAGGAGAUAGCAAGAAACUUGAUGAACCACAUAAGUUUUGAAACACUAAUCCAAAGAAAAGUAGAACCUUGACAAGCCGCCUUGAUGUUUUCAGCGUCUUCGACAGGGGAGAAAUGUGGAGGAGAAACAAUGGUGGCCAUUUUGUUUUUUCUGUUUCUGCGUAAGAUAUCUUUGACUCAGAUUAAUCACUUGUUGGAUAUUGCUUCCAUUGCUUUGAGCACUCUUAAUUUAUAAGAGUUGGUAAUGAUGUUACAAUGCUUUGAAGAGACCAGAAAAUGUUUCAAACGGCUCAUUGAUUGUUUUUGCUCUAUGUUAAUCUGAAACUCUCUCUGUUAACGCCACCCCUUUAUGUAUAUGACUUUGCCGUUAUUUUUUCAGGAAUUAAGUUUUCAUAA